Molecule: long non-coding RNA, 360 nt
Filed under: Elaeis guineensis (African oil palm)
Lineage: Eukaryota; Viridiplantae; Streptophyta; Magnoliopsida; Arecales; Arecaceae
Description: long non-coding RNA (EGUI_LNC031539)
Source: RNAcentral
AUUGGAGAGAAUUUUAUUUUCAUUUCGAUUCUAGAAAAGAUUCGGAACAUUUUAAUCUCUCAAAACUCAAUUUUUAUUUUUUCAUAGUAUUUAAAAUUUAUUCCGAUUCCGAUUUUCAUCGUAAAUCAAAUAUAUUAAAAGAUAUAUUUUUUUUAAUUUUUAUUUCAAUUCACUCCGAUUCCGUUUUCAAUUUCAACCGCAAACCAACCAUGCCCUAAGAGCAAAGCAAUGAGCUUGCAUAUGAGAAAAUUCCUUUUCUCAUGUGAAACUAAGAGAUAUAUGUAAAUCUUGUAGAAAUAAGAAAGUUUCAUUUGCCACAUGAUACAAGGGGAUUCAUGUAAAUUGUGAGAAUUAGCGUCA